CCCUUAGAUGUUCUGGGCCGCACACGCGCUACACUGAAGGAGGCAGCGUGUACUCCUGGAUCGAAAGAUUUGGGUAACCCGCGAAUCUCCUUCGUGCUAGGGAUUGAGGUUUGCAAUUAUCCUUCAUGAACGAGGAAUUCCCAGUAAGUGCAAGUCAUAAGCUUGCGCUGACUACGUCCCUGCCCUUUGUACACACCGCCCGUCGCUACUACCGAUUGAAUGAUUUAGUGAGGACUUCGUACUGGGACCGAUGCGGCUUUCGGGCUGCGUCGGUAUUCUGGAAAGAUGUCCAAACUGUAUCAUUUAGAGGAAGUAAAAGUCGUANCA
Molecule: ribosomal RNA, 327 nt
Filed under: uncultured eukaryote
Lineage: Eukaryota
Description: partial 18S ribosomal RNA
Rfam family: Eukaryotic small subunit ribosomal RNA
Source: RNAcentral